CAAAGGCUUGGUCCUGACUUUACUAUCAACUUUAGCUAAACUUACACAUGCAAGUAUCCGCACCCCUGUGAGAAUGCCCUACAGUUCCCCGCCCGGGAACAAGGAGCCGGUAUCAGGCACACAUAACCCAGCCCAUGACACCUUGCUUAGCCACACCCUCAAGGGAACUCAGCAGUGAUAGACAUUAAGCCAUAAGUGAAAACUUGACUUAGUCAAAGCUAACAGGGCCGGUAAAACUCGUGCCAGCCACCGCGGUUAUACGAGAGGCCCAAGUUGACAGUCACCGGCGUAAAGAGUGGUUAAAGAAUGAUUAAAACUAAAGCCGAACACCUUCAAGGCAGUUAUACGCACCCGAAGGUUAGAAGCCCAACUACGAAAGUGGCUUUAUCUUUCCUGAACCCACGAGAGCUACGGCACAAACUGGGAUUAGAUACCCCACUAUG
This 443-nucleotide ribosomal RNA is filed under the name Chelidonichthys lucerna (tub gurnard). RNAcentral's name for it is "partial small subunit ribosomal RNA". It matches the Rfam family "Bacterial small subunit ribosomal RNA", at positions 7 to 794 of the family's 1533-position model. Lineage: Eukaryota; Metazoa; Chordata; Actinopteri; Perciformes; Triglidae. The record is from RNAcentral.